RNAcentral lists this long non-coding RNA (1257 nucleotides) under Rattus norvegicus (Norway rat). RNAcentral's name for it is "long non-coding RNA NONRATT014599". Lineage: Eukaryota; Metazoa; Chordata; Mammalia; Rodentia; Muridae. The record is from RNAcentral.
GACACUGCCAAUAUGACGGAUCCGACUCCAGCCACCGUGACCUUGAAUUCUGCUCUUGUAUCCACUUCAAGGCUGGCUUCAACUGUACAUUACCUGAGUUCAGCAGCAGUGCCAACAUCACAUGCACCCCAUCACACGCCCCUUCCUGAAGUGCCUGUUAGAGCCAAAGACCUCACCGACUUGUCAUCUCAUACAGGAAUGUUGGAACACGAAUUUUCCGCGCCAGUGGCGAUACUCAUCAUUUUGGGGGUGAUGGCUGGAAUCAUCGGAAUUAUCCUUCUCAUCUCUUACUCUAUCGGCCAAAUAAUAAAGAAAAGGUCAGUUGACAUACAGCCUCCUGAGGACGAGGACCAGGGUGUGCCUUUGAGUUCUAUUGAGCAGACCGUUAAUCAAGAGUUCGCCAAUGUUUGAAAGACCUCGAGGAAAACAAGACUUCAGUUGGUGGAAAAAGUAAUGCAAAAAUCAGAUGUUUCAGUAAAUUAUGUACCCUCCUGAGCUGCACUGUAAGAAGAAAAUGUCACCUUUUGAGCCUCCAUGAUUCACUACAGGGGGUGGGGCACCUCUGUUCACUAAUAACUGAAGAUGAAGAACAAAAGUUUCCUUGUAGGCUUGAUUUUGCUGGCAGAAAUUUGUGUAACUCUUUGACUAGAAAUUUUACUCAAAAAAAAAUGUCAGUCGAGUUUCUGUGCUGUCCUUUAAAGACUGACGCAUUCUAUUCUGUUGUGGUUUGUUCAUGGUGAUGUUGUGCAAAGGUGUGACAUCCAAGUUUCUUCAUCACUUCAAUUCCUGAGCCCAUUCUCAUUUAAUUUAAGCAAAUUAAAAAACCAGCAAGUCCUCCUGUGUUCUUCCUUGCACACAGGCAAGCACACAGCUCUCUGUUAAUGGGAAGGACACUUUACCCUCUCAGAAAUGCCGCAAACAUAAAUAUAGGUAAGGACACGCCUCCAUUAUUCGGUAUUUCAUGGGUAACUCUUGAGUUUUCAACAAACUUUCUGAACCCAUCCAGUGGAAGCCUCCCUUGUUAAUAAAACUUUCUAGAUAUAAGUGAUGAAGGGGUUUUGAAACUACACUGCUGCCCAUUCCUUUAUAGAAAAACUUAAAAUAAUAAUGUUUUUAAGAGGACAUGAAGUUAGGAGGAGUGGGGAGGUAGGGGUGGAUGUGGGACUGGCAAAGGGAGAGAGUAAGGGAUAAGUAUGUUCAAAAUACAUUGUAUGAAAUUCUCGAAUUAAUAAAAAUGUUUUAAAAAAUCAACACAAA